GCUGGGCCCUGUAAGAAGUUUGCCAGGAGGUCCCCAGAAGUAGAAGGACCAUAGCAAUGAACUGUCUUCCUACCCAAUUCAUAUAUUCAGCCCUUGUUUCUACUGAGAUAUGUCUCCAGCCAUUAAGUUGUCUCUGGUCAUGGAGUUUCAUCACAGCAAUAGGAACCCUAAGACAUACAUACCUGUAAUCUGGAAUUGGACGUGGGAGGACCGAGAGUUCAAGGUCACUCUUGGUUAUUUAAUGAGACUGAGGUUAGCCUGGACUACACAGGACCUCUUUUGCCAAAAAUGAAACAAACAAGCAAACAAAAAAAUAGCAAAUCUGAGACAGUUUUUUUUUUUUUUAUGUUCUAGCUGCCACACAUUUGGAAAACUUGUAUAUUUAUGUAAAGCUCCAAUAUCCAGUCUCAAGGAUGACUCAGUAUGGUAAAGACCCUCGCUGCCAGGCUUGAUGACUUACGCUUGAGUCCUGGAUCCCACAUGGUGGAAAAGUCAACUUUCACAAGUUUUUGACCUUCACAGUAGUCACAUACAAACAACAAAACCCUAGUUUGGGACCGUAGAGAUGGCUCAGCCAUCGUCUGUUGAGAGCCCUUCACAUAGCUUCUCACAACUGCCUGUAACUCCUGUUUCCAGGGAGUUGGUGCACAUGUAUAAC
This 658-nucleotide long non-coding RNA is filed under the name Rattus norvegicus (Norway rat). RNAcentral's name for it is "long non-coding RNA NONRATT015223". Lineage: Eukaryota; Metazoa; Chordata; Mammalia; Rodentia; Muridae. The record is from RNAcentral.